This 960-nucleotide ribosomal RNA is filed under the name Alkalicoccobacillus gibsonii. Its description in RNAcentral is "bacterial SSU rRNA". It matches the Rfam family "Bacterial small subunit ribosomal RNA", at positions 120 to 1062 of the family's 1533-position model. Lineage: Bacteria; Bacillati; Bacillota; Bacilli; Caryophanales; Bacillaceae. The record is from RNAcentral.
GGCAACCUACCUUAUCGACUGGGAUAACUCCUGGAAACCGGGGCUAAUACCGGAUAACAUCUAGCACCUCCUGGUGCCGGAUUAAAAGAGGGCUUCUUGCUCUCACGAUGAGAUGGGCCCGCGGCGCAUUAGCUAGUUGGAGAGGUAAUGGCUCCCCAAGGCGACGAUGCGUAGCCGACCUGAGAGGGUGAUCGGCCACACUGGGACUGAGACACGGCCCAGACUCCUACGGGAGGCAGCAGUAGGGAAUCUUCCGCAAUGGACGAAAGUCUGACGGAGCAACGCCGCGUGAGUGAUGAAGGGUUUCGGCUCGUAAAGCUCUGUUAUGAGGGAAGAACACGUACCGUUCGAAUAGGGCGGUACCUUGACGGUACCUCAUCAGAAAGCCACGGCUAACUACGUGCCAGCAGCCGCGGUAAUACGUAGGUGGCAAGCGUUGUCCGGAAUUAUUGGGCGUAAAGCGCGCGCAGGCGGCCUUUUAAGUCUGAUGUGAAAUCUUGCGGCUCAACCGCAAGCGGCCAUUGGAAACUGGGAGGCUUGAGUACAGAAGAGGAGAGUGGAAUUCCACGUGUAGCGGUGAAAUGCGUAGAUAUGUGGAGGAACACCAGUGGCGAAGGCGACUCUCUGGUCUGUAACUGACGCUGAGGCGCGAAAGCGUGGGGAGCAAACAGGAUUAGAUACCCUGGUAGUCCACGCCGUAAACGAUGAGUGCUAGGUGUUAGGGGUUUCGAUGCCCGUAGUGCCGAAGUUAACACAUUAAGCACUCCGCCUGGGGAGUACGGCCGCAAGGCUGAAACUCAAAGGAAUUGACGGGGGCCCGCACAAGCAGUGGAGCAUGUGGUUUAAUUCGAAGCAACGCGAAGAACCUUACCAGGUCUUGACAUCCUUUGACCACUCUGGAGACAGAGCUUCCCCUUCGGGGGCAAAGUGACAGGUGGGUGCAUGGUUGUCGUCAGCUCG